Molecule: ribosomal RNA, 301 nt
Filed under: uncultured bacterium
Lineage: Bacteria
Description: partial 16S ribosomal RNA
Rfam family: Bacterial small subunit ribosomal RNA
Source: RNAcentral
CAGCCGCCACGGGAAUACGAAGGGGGCUAGCGUUGCUCGGAAUCACUGGGCGUAAAGGGUGCGUAGGCAGGUCUUUAAGUCAGGGGUGAAAUCCUGGAGCUCAACUCCAGAACUGCCUUUGAUACUGAAGAUCUUGAGUUCGGGAGAGGUGAGUGGAACUGCGAGUGUAGAGGUGAAAUUCGCAGAUAUUCGCAAGAACACCAGUGGCGAAGGCGGCUCACUGGCCCGAUACCGACGCUGAGGCACGAAAGCGUGGGGAGCAAACAGGAUUAGAUACCCCUGUAGUCCCUGUCUCUUAUAC